GAAGUGUUGGUUUCCUGAAAGGGAUUCCUUAUUCCGCUUCUACAGGUGGUGCAUGGCUGUCGUCAGCUCGUGUCGUGAGAUGUUGGGUUAAGUCCCGCAACGAGCGCAACCCUUAUUUUUAGUUCUAUUGUCUAAAAAGACUGCCGGUGACAAACCGGAGGAAGGUGAGGACGACGUCAAGUCAUCAUGCCCCUUACACCCUGGGCUACACACGUCCUACAAUGGGUAAGACAAUAAGUUGCAAAUCCGCGAGGACAAGCUAAUCUUUCAAACUUACUCCAAGUACAGAUUGCAGGCUGCAACUCGCCUGCAUGAAGGUGGAAUCGCUAGUAAUCGCUGGUCAGCUACACAGCGGUGAAUCCGUUCCCGGGCCUUGUACACACCGCCCGUCACACCAUGGAAGCUGGUUGUACCCGAAGUCGUUAUCCUAACCGCAAGGAAGGAGAUGCCGAAGGUAAAAUUAGUGACCGAGGUGAAGUCGUAACAAGGUA
This 491-nucleotide ribosomal RNA is filed under the name uncultured cyanobacterium. RNAcentral's name for it is "bacterial SSU rRNA". It matches the Rfam family "Bacterial small subunit ribosomal RNA", at positions 988 to 1498 of the family's 1533-position model. Lineage: Bacteria; Bacillati; Cyanobacteriota. The record is from RNAcentral.